GACGAACGCUGGCGGCGUGCUUAACACAUGCAAGUCGAACGAUGAAGCCGCUUCGGUGGUGGAUUAGUGGCGAACGGGUGAGUAACACGUGGGCAAUCUGCCCUGCACUCUGGGACAAGCCCUGGAAACGGGGUCUAAUACCGGAUAUGACCAUCGGACGCAUGGCCUGGUGGUGGAAAGCUCUGGUGGUGCAGGAUGAGCCCGCGGCCUAUCAGCUUGUUGGUGGGGUGAUGGCCUACCAAGGCGACGACGGGUAGCCGGCCUGAGAGGGCGACCGGCCACACUGGGACUGAGACACGGCCCAGACUCCUACGGGAGGCAGCAGUGGGGAAUAUUGCACAAUGGGCGCAAGCCUGAUGCAGCGACGCCGCGUGAGGGAUGACGGCCUUCGGGUUGUAAACCUCUUUCAGCAGGGAAGAAGCUUUCGGGUGACGGUACCUGCAGAAGAAGCACCGGCUAACUACGUGCCAGCCGCCGCAGUAA
RNAcentral lists this ribosomal RNA (483 nucleotides) under uncultured bacterium. Its description in RNAcentral is "partial 16S ribosomal RNA". It matches the Rfam family "Bacterial small subunit ribosomal RNA", at positions 28 to 523 of the family's 1533-position model. The record is from RNAcentral.